GGUCAAGUAAUGAAGUGCACAUGGUGGAUGCCUUGGCAGUCAGAGGCGAUGAAAGACGUGAUAGCCUGCGAUAAGCGUCGGUGAGGUGGCAAUAUCCUGUGACCCGGCGAUUUCUGAAUGGGGAAACCCAACCAACACAAGUUGGUUAUUACACAGUUUACUGUGUAAGGCAAACCGGGAGAAGUGAAACAUCUCAGUACCCCGAGGAAAAGACAUCAAAUGAGAUUCCGUAAGUAGCGGCGAGCGAACACGGAGGAGCCGAUCAAUUUUACAGUAGCAAAAUGGCGUGGAAAAGCCAACCAUAGUAGGUGAUAGUCCUGUAUGCGAAACUGUUUAAGCGACAUAUUAAGUAGGGCGGAACACGAGAAAUUCUGUCUGAAGAUGGGGGACCAUCCUCCAAGGCUAAAUACUCCUGACUGACCGAUAGUGAACCAGUACCGUGAGGGAAAGGCGAAAAGAACCCCUGUUAGGGGAGUGAAAUAGAACCUGAAACCGUGUGCAUACAAGCAGUCGGAGCGGACUUGUUCCGUGACGGCGUACCUUUUGUAUAAUGGGUCAGCGACUUAUAUUCUGUAGCAAGGUUAACCGAAUAGGGGAGCCGUAGGGAAACCGAGUCUUAAUAGGGCGAAUGAGUUGCAGGGUAUAGACCCGAAACCGAGUGAUCUAUCCAUGAGCAGGUUGAAAGUGCCGUAACAGGCACCGGAGGACCGAACCCACUGUCGUUGAAAAGCCAGGGGAUGACUUGUGGAUAGGGGUGAAAGGCUAAUCAAACUCGGUGAUAGCUGGUUCUCCCCGAAAGCUAUUUAGGUAGCGCCUCGGACGAACACCAUUGGGGGUAGAGCACUGUUUCGGCUAGGGGUCAUCCCGACUUACCAAACCGAUGCAAACUCCGAAUACCGAUGAGUGAUAUCCGGGAGACAGACGGCGGGUGCUAACGUCCGUCGUCAAGAGGGAAACAACCCAGACCGCCAGCUAAGGCCCCAAAUUCCUAGUUAAGUGGGAAACGAUGUGGGAAGGCACAGACAGCUAGGAGGUUGGCUUAGAAGCAGCCACCCUUUAAAGAAAGCGUAAUAGCUCACUAGUCGAGUCGGCCUGCGCGGAAGAUGUAACGGGGCUCAAACUAGGAGCCGAAGCUGCGGAUUUAAUUGUUUCAAUUAAGUGGUAGGGGAGCGUUGUGUAAGCCUGUGAAGGUGCACUGUAAGGUGUGCUGGAGGUAUCACAAGAGCGAAUGCUGACGUGAGUAACGACAAAACGGGUGAAAAGCCCGUUCGCCGGAAGACCAAGGGUUCCAGUCCAACGUUAAUCGGGGCUGGGUGAGUCGACCCCUAAGGCGAGGCCGAAAGGCGUAGUCGAUGGGAAAUCGGUUAAUAUUCCGAUACUUGUUUAUGAUGCGAUGGAGGGACGGAGAAGGUUAUGCCAGCCUGGCGAUGGUUGUCCAGGUGGAAGGAUGUAGUUAGACUGAGUAGGCAAAUCCGCUCGGUUAUUAAUGAGAUCUGAUAGCAAGCCAGUUUACUGGCGAAGUGGCAAAUACCCUGCUUCCAGGAAAAGCUUCUAAGCGAUAGUCAUAAACGAAUCGUACCCGAAACCGACACAGGUGGUCAGGUAGAGAAUACCAAGGCGCUUGAGAGAACUCUGCUGAAGGAACUAGGCAAAAUGGUACCGUAACUUCGGGAGAAGGUACGCUGCCGAUGGUGAUGAAACUUGCUUUCUGAGCUGUUGGCAGUCGCAGAUACCAGGCUGCUGCAACUGUUUAUUAAAAACACAGCACUCUGCAAACACGAAAGUGGACGUAUAGGGUGUGAUGCCUGCCCGGUGCUGGAAGGUUAAUUGAUGGGGUUAGCGUAAGCGAAGCUCUUGAUCGAAGCCCCAGUAAACGGCGGCCGUAACUAUAACGGUCCUAAGGUAGCGAAAUUCCUUGUCGGGUAAGUUCCGACCUGCACGAAUGGCAUAAUGAUGGCAGCGCUGUCUCCAGCAGAGACUCAGUGAAAUCGAAAUCGCAGUGAAGAUGCUGUGUACCCGCGGCUAGACGGAAAGACCCCGUGAACCUUUACUACAGCUUUACAUUGAACUUUGACCUAACUUGUGUAGGAUAGGUGGGAGGCUUUGAAGCAGAUACGCCAGUAUUUGUGGAGCCAACCUUGAAAUACCACCCUGGUUAUGUUGGGGUUCUAACUUAGAUAUAACAGUAUCAAGGACAAUGUAUGGUGGGUAGUUUGACUGGGGCGGUCUCCUCCUAAAGAGUAACGGAGGAGUACGAAGGUGCGCUCAGAACGGUCGGAAAUCGUUCAAAGAGUAUAAAGGCAAAAGCGCGCUUAACUGCGAGACCCACAAGUCGAGCAGGUACGAAAGUAGGUCUUAGUGAUCCGGUGGUUCUGUAUGGAAGGGCCAUCGCUCAACGGAUAAAAGGUACUCUGGGGAUAACAGGCUGAUACCGCCCAAGAGUUCAUAUCGACGGCGGUGUUUGGCACCUCGAUGUCGGCUCAUCUCAUCCUGGGGCUGAAGCAGGUCCCAAGGGUAUGGCUGUUCGCCAUUUAAAGAGGUACGCGAGCUGGGUUUAGAACGUCGUGAGACAGUUCGGUCCCUAUCUACCGUGGGCGUUGGAAAUUUGAGAGGAUCUGCUCCUAGUACGAGAGGACCAGAGUGGACGAACCUCUGGUGUUUCGGUUGUCACGCCAGUGGCAUUGCCGAGUAGCUACGUUCGGAUGGGAUAACCGCUGAAAGCAUCUAAGCGGGAAGCCCACCUCAAGAUGAGAUUUCCCUAAGAGCCGUUGUAGACUACGACGUUGAUAGGUUGGGUGUGGAAGUGUAGUGAUACAUGUAGCUAACCAAUACUAAUUGCUCGUUUGGCUUGACCAU
Molecule: ribosomal RNA, 2856 nt
Filed under: Moraxella nonliquefaciens
Lineage: Bacteria; Pseudomonadati; Pseudomonadota; Gammaproteobacteria; Moraxellales; Moraxellaceae
Description: 23S ribosomal RNA
Rfam family: Bacterial large subunit ribosomal RNA
Source: RNAcentral